UUGGGUGGUUAUAGAGACGGUGUUCACCUCUUCCCAUUCCGAACAGAGAAGUUAAGCCCGCCCUCGCUGAUGAUACUGCACUUGUUUGUGGAAAAGUAAGUCGCCGCCCAUU
RNAcentral lists this ribosomal RNA (112 nucleotides) under Bacteroidales bacterium. Lineage: Bacteria; Pseudomonadati; Bacteroidota; Bacteroidia; Bacteroidales. The record is from RNAcentral.